UUUCUGUUGGUUUUCGGUACACGAGGAAGUUCGGAGGUGGUGAAAAUGGCUUUGCGUGUUUGUCCAGGUUUCCCACGUAACUUGCGGCCAAUGUUCCUUAAAUCCCUAGCUGUCAUAAUCUUAGAGGUCCCACAUUCGGAUCGUUUCUUCCUUGGCUCUCAUGUGGAUAAAUAAUUCAUUAUGUCAAUAAAUGUUAUAAUAUUAUUAUGGUUUUCUGCUAAAGUGUGUGCACA
Long non-coding RNA from Octopus sinensis (East Asian common octopus), 233 nucleotides. RefSeq lists it as uncharacterized. The record is from RefSeq and is a predicted model, not a curated record. The transcript is spliced from 3 exons. NCBI's taxonomy places the organism in Eukaryota, Metazoa, Mollusca, Cephalopoda, Octopoda, Octopodidae.